AUUGAACGCUGGCGGCAGGCCUCACACAUGCAAGUCGAGCGAGCGGCGGACGGGUGAGUAAUGUAUGGGGACUGCCCGAUAGAGGGGGAUAACUACUGGAAACGGUAGCUAAUACCGCAUACUAUCGGAUAAACCAUCGGGGAUUAGCUAGUAGGUGAGGUCAUGGCUCACCUAGGCGACGAUCCCUAGCUGGUCUGAGAGGAUGAUCAGCAACACUGUGGCUGAGACACGGCACCGACUCCGAAGGAGGCAGAAGUGGGGAAUAGUGCGCGCGAGGCGCAAGCCUGAUGCAGCCAUGCCGCGUGUAUGAAGAGGGCCCUAGGUUUGUAAAGUACGUUCAGUCGGGAGGCGUUACCGACAGAAGAAGCACCGGCUAACUCCGUGCCAGCAGCCGCGGUAAUAC
RNAcentral lists this ribosomal RNA (403 nucleotides) under uncultured bacterium. RNAcentral's name for it is "partial 16S ribosomal RNA". It matches the Rfam family "Bacterial small subunit ribosomal RNA", at positions 30 to 526 of the family's 1533-position model. The record is from RNAcentral.